This 107-nucleotide small nuclear RNA is filed under the name Carlito syrichta (Philippine tarsier). The record is from RNAcentral. Lineage: Eukaryota; Metazoa; Chordata; Mammalia; Primates; Tarsiidae.
GUGCUCAUCUCAGCAGCAUAUAUACUAAAAUUGGAAUGAUACAGAGAAGAUUGACAUGGCCCCCAUGCAAGGAUGACAAAUAAAUCUGUGAUGCAUUCCAUUUUUUU